Antechinus flavipes (yellow-footed antechinus) is the source of this 945-nucleotide long non-coding RNA. RefSeq lists it as uncharacterized. The transcript has 3 exons. The record is from RefSeq and is a predicted model, not a curated record. Lineage: Eukaryota; Metazoa; Chordata; Mammalia; Dasyuromorphia; Dasyuridae.
AAGACCAUCUCUUAGAACCAACGAUCUGAGUGUGCUCAAUUCAUCCUAAAGUCUUAAAACUGCAGAACCACAGAUGAGAGAAAUCCUGGAAUUUCUUCCCUGAGCAUUUUGUCAGGUUGUCCCCCAUAUCUGGAAGGUUCUCCUAUAUUCUCUUAACCUUGGGGCUUUAGGGCUUCCCUUGAGUCACAGCUAUUGUCACUCCUUCCCCAAGAAACCUUUCCCAAUUUCCCUUCAUUGUAGUGCUUUCCCACUGUUGAUAAUCUCUCGAAUAAUCCCAUCUACCAUGUAGGUACAGAACUUGCAAAUUGUCUCAUUCCUUUAGACAACAACCUCCUCAAGGGCACUGAUUGCUUUCUGCUUUUCUUGGUAUGCCCCAUGCUUUGCACAAAAUCAGUUACAGCAAUGUUUAUUGACUGACUCUCUGUGAGGGAUAUAGGGUAAAAGGGACAACACCCCUCCCCCCAUAUCAUCUUCAUCUAUUUGCUGGGUGAGCCGGGUGGGAAGGAAGAAGUUACAGUCCAUUUGGAAUUCAGGCUCAGGAGCUACCAAGGAAAUCUUCUGGCUGUAUUUCUCUCCUUCCAGGUGAGGACAUCGCCAUGUAUGAAAACAUUGUUCACUUUAGAGGCUCAACUCUGCCUAAACAGGGCUCCGACUCCUCCUCUACUUUUCCUGAAGACCCACCUGAGAGUUCUUACCAGACAUUGGACAUCACCAGAGUGGAUGUUUAUGACAAGAUUGACCCCUUGAAGAAACCUGAAGCCUAGGAAAAAACCUAGGGAUGUUGGGACACCCUUCCAUCACCAUUCAUGAAGAAGGGUUCAGAGGCAUCUCUCAGGAAAAAAAGCAGACACAUUGAAGUCCAUGAGAAAGACAGAAAGGCUGGACUUGUGGAAAGGGGAGGUUUCUAGGGAGGCAGGGGCCCUCGGAUAUCCCAAAAAGGAUCAA